GCGGACCUUUCGGGGUCAGCGGCGGACGGGUGAGUAACGCGUGGGAACGUGCCUUCCGGUUCGGAAUAACCCUGGGAAACUAGGGCUAAUACCGGAUACGCCCUUAUGGGGAAAGGUUUACUGCCGGAAGAUCGGCCCGCGUCUGAUUAGCUAGUUGGUGGGGUAACGGCCUACCAAGGCGACGAUCAGUAGCUGGUCUGAGAGGAUGAUCAGCCACACUGGGACUGAGACACGGCCCAGACUCCUACGGGAGGCAGCAGUGGGGAAUAUUGGACAAUGGGCGCAAGCCUGAUCCAGCCAUGCCGCGUGAGUGAUGAAGGCCUUAGGGUUGUAAAGCUCUUUUAUCCGGGACGAUAAUGACGGUACCGGAGGAAUAAGCCCCGGCUAACUUCGUGCCAGCAGCCGCGGUAAUACGAAGGGGGCUAGCGUUGCUCGGAAUCACUGGGCGUAAAGGGCGCGUAGGCGGCGUUUUAAGUCGGGGGUGAAAGCCUGUGGCUCAACCACAGAAUGGCCUUCGAUACUGGGACGCUUGAGUAUGGUAGAGGUUGGUGGAACUGCGAGUGUAGAGGUGAAAUUCGUAGAUAUUCGCAAGAACACCGGUGGCGAAGGCGGCCAACUGGACCAUUACUGACGCUGAGGCGCGAAAGCGUGGGGAGCAAACAGGAUUAGAUACYCUGGUAGUCCACGCCGUAAACGAUGAAUGCCAGCUGUUGGGGUGCUUGCACCGCAGUAGCGCAGCUAACGCUUUGAGCAUUCCRCCUGGGGAGUACRGUCGCAAGAUUAAACUCAAAGGAAUUGACGGGGGCCCGCACAA
Molecule: ribosomal RNA, 814 nt
Filed under: Methylobacterium fujisawaense
Lineage: Bacteria; Pseudomonadati; Pseudomonadota; Alphaproteobacteria; Hyphomicrobiales; Methylobacteriaceae
Description: bacterial SSU rRNA
Source: RNAcentral